UGGGGAAUUUUGGACAAUGGGGGGAACCCUGAUCCAGCAAUACCGCGUGUGUGAAGAAGGCCUGCGGGUUGUAAAGCACUUUAGGUGGGGAGGAAAGCUUUUGUUUUAAUAAAGCAAAAGGGUGACGUUACCCACAGAAUAAGCACCGGCUAACUCUGUGCCAGCAGCCGCGGUAAUACAGAGGGUGCAAGCGUUAAUCGGAAUUACUGGGCGUAAAGCGCAUGUAGGUGGUUUAAUAAGUUUGAUGUGAAAGCCCCGGGCUUAACCUGGGAAUGGCAUUGAGUACUGUUAGACUUGAGUCGGAUAGAGGGCAGUGGAAUUUCCGGUGUAGCGGUGAAAUGCGUAGAGAUCGGAAAGAACAUCAGUGGCGAAGGCGUCUGCCUGGAUCCAGACUGACACUUAAGUGCGAAAGCGUGGGGAGCAAACAG
This 428-nucleotide ribosomal RNA is filed under the name uncultured bacterium. RNAcentral's name for it is "bacterial SSU rRNA". It matches the Rfam family "Bacterial small subunit ribosomal RNA", at positions 355 to 775 of the family's 1533-position model. The record is from RNAcentral.